AUGAAGGUUGAACCCCUGUCCGUGGACACCUGUGAACCAUUGUGCACACUUUUUCCUGCAGUGAACCCUGUAGAUGUGGAUGUGGUUUAUUCCCAGGUCUGGAGCAUCCAGCCACCAGAAGACUCAGCAAACAUCAGAAGGACAAUUCUGGAGAACAAGGUGAGCUGGACUCCUGGAGAGUUCUUUCCCCUGUUGUCUCCCCCUCCAGCCAUGUUCCUUCUCUUCCUUCAACUGUGCAUCUCUCCUAGGACUCCCAUGUCAUCUACUCUAAUAUAAAGGAGACAUAACACUCAGAGGAAUUGGGAGACAGAUCACCAACAAGGACAGAGCAGCACUAAGGGCUGCGAAAAAUGACAAAAUGCCCAACCCUCAUGAAGCCUCACAGAUAGAAUGUGCUCCAAGGGCUGAGCAGACCAGCGGGUUCAUCAUUUUUGUUUUUAUCAUGUUAUUUCCCAAUGUCUUCUUUCAUUCAUUCAGUAUUUAUUGAGCUGCUGCCGCAUUCCAGAUGCCUUGUGGGGGGUUAUCUUUGUUAUCUUCUCUUUUAAAAAUUUUUUUAUUGAAAUUCAAUUUAGUUGACAUAUAAUGUAUUUUUAGUUUCAGAGGUAGAGUUUAGUGAUUCAUGUGAUGAACACUGGGUGUUAUAGUCAAUGUUCAUCACAUCACAUGCCCUCCUUAAUGCCCAUCACCCAGUCACCUCAUCCUCCCACCCUCCUCCCCUCCAGCAACCCUCACUCAGUUUGUUCCCUAGAGUUAAGAGUCUCUUAUGGUUUGCCUCCCUUAAUGUUUUUAUCUUAUUCUAUUUUUCCUUUCCUUCUCCUAUGUUCAUCUGUUUUGUUUCUUAAAUUCCACAUAUGAGAGAAAUCAUAUGAUAUUUGCUUCAAUGUUCAAAGAGAUGAGGAAGAAGAAUGAACACAAGAAACAAGUUUUCUUCUUGUCUGAGGUGUUGUGAACAGAACCUAUUUCUGGGCUUUGCUUUGUUUUCCAGACUGGGAUUUUGUUGUCUUUUGUUUCUACAAACAGACAUCUCAAGUUUUAAAGAAAUCCUCUCUUGCUCUUGUGAAAACUUUAGAGUUCAGUUUGUGGGAGGGAACAGCAGCUUGAAUUAGCUUGCCAUAUUUGUCCUUUCUUGAAUGCUUGGUUUGUAUAUUGAUCCACAUUGAUUUAAAAGUAACGAGGAUAUUUAUAUCUUCUUGAAAUGCUAAGUGUUUUAUGUUCAUUUGCACCAUCAUGUAGGGAGUAAGGUCACAGCCUUUGAGACCCCCUCCCUAGGGUGGUGUCCCAACCUCAUCCCCCACUGAAUGUGUGGUCUUGAACAAACUACUUAACUUCUGUGUACUUCAGUUUCUUCAUCUUUAAACGGGGAAGACCAUUUGUUAAAUGUUCAUAAAUCACAUAGAACAAUGUCUGGCAUAUAAGUAGCACUAAUUAAUUAUUCAACAAAUAAAAUAUGCAUAAUUAUCA
Molecule: long non-coding RNA, 1461 nt
Filed under: Canis lupus dingo (dingo)
Lineage: Eukaryota; Metazoa; Chordata; Mammalia; Carnivora; Canidae
Description: lncRNA (ENSCAFG00020003776.1)
Source: RNAcentral